Molecule: long non-coding RNA, 627 nt
Organism: Saccostrea cuccullata (small rock oyster)
Lineage: Eukaryota; Metazoa; Mollusca; Bivalvia; Ostreida; Ostreidae
Exons: 3
Source: RefSeq, a predicted model, not a curated record
UCUGAUUUUAAUGAAUAUGAUUCUGACAGCGAAUAUUCAUUUGGUAGCAAGACGGAUGUAGUGAUGAUGAUACCGAAUCAACAAUGUUUGAAUUUGAAAAAGAAACAGAUUAUUCAAAUUCAUUUCCCUGGUUAGGGCUGGGCUUUACAAUGGGAUUUUCAGCUGUGGAGCUAUAAGAAUUACUACAUAGGGUUUCCAAUGUAGCUUUGUGAUCAGAAUCCAGAAAUAAGAAGAGGAGAGACAAUGCAGAUGCAGCAUUAGCAUUACCAAUUACUUACCACUGCUGAGAAAAUGGUACAUACUUUGAGUACUACUUUUGUGUAUUUGGAGACAGUCCAGUUGUUCUUUAAACCAGAAGUGGAAAUUUCAGUGCUUGUUAAAUUUUCUCCAGAAGUUAUUGGAUGCUACAUAGGAAGAAAAUGGGGUCAUACUGAACAGAAUAGUUUGGAUACAUCUUAUAGAUUUUGAAAGCUUGAGACCUCAAGAUCAACCCAAAUGGUGUACCAAACAUGAAGAAAAAAAGACAGUUUAUGAUUGAAGAAGCUUGUUUAGUAGCCAAAAUUUCAGGGUAUUUCAUAUAUGUUAACUUAUACAAUUUUAUCGGUACAUGUACUUAAACAUUGUUAA